CUCUGUUUGAGAGUCUCCAUAUAGUUGUGGAUGUAAUCGGUUUAUGAAUUUAAGCAACUAUCACUAGAAUUUCAUUGAGUAAUUACUUUGGGGAAAUAAUUUUCAUACUAUAUUUUAUAUGGGUAUAAAUACAGGAACAGUGAGUGAGAUAAGGAUUGUUUUGAUCAUUCUUUCUGUGCCUCACCAGGAAAAGCCCUGAGAGAGAACGAAGUCUCUGUUCAGAGAAUGGGAAUGCCACGGCAUUGCACACAAAGGCGCAAAGAAGGAACAAUCAGGCAAGCUAGAAGUUUAAAAAGGGUGUUUUCCUCAUGGAUUAUUGAUAAAUUGACAUUUUUAAUCCCAGUGAGACACAAGGCACUGUUCUGGUGUCCUUCCAGGAACAGGAUCUGUUCUUCUGUGCCCUCCAGCACUGAGAAUUCCUACCCAGCCUCGUGCUCAGUGCCUGGAAAAGCCAGGAAAAACACAUGAAUUCCUGGCUGGAGCCUCUGGGGAAGCCUGGACAGGCACAGCCCAGCCAGGAACAGGUUAAAGUCUGUGUAGCUGGUGGAAUUCAGAGGAAAUCCUUUGUGCAAGCAAACCCAGCUUCCUCCUGUGUGUUCUUUAAUGAUCCCUUAAGAGUUAAACAAAAGAGUGACUGGUGCCUUUUAAACACCAGUGACCUUUCUCAUGGUUCUUCCUCUCAGAUCCUUCCAGGUCCUGGAAGAUCACACUGAGCUCACCCCAAAGCUUCUCCUGCCCAGGUGAGCGAUGCCAGCUGUGCCAGCCUUUCCUCCAGCAGAGCUGCUCCAUCCUCUGCUCAUCCUGGAGCCUCUCUGGGCUCUGCAGCAGCUCCAGCUCCUGGGCUGGGGCAGAGCUGGGGCAGAUCUGCAGGUGGGGCAGAGUUCCCUCCUCCCCUCCCCUCCCUGCUGCCCACGCUUUCCCCUCAGCCUGAAAUUCUUGUUUGUUAAAACCUCUGCUUCUGCUUCCAAGUGCUGAUUCCAGCCAGGAGGAGAUCCAGGUGCUGAGGGUGGCACUUGUCACCUCCUGCCAGUUGUGGCAGAGUUGUGACAAAGCAUCACCUCUGCCUUUCUUUGUGGGACACGGCUCCUGGGAGUGGUGGGAGGAGGUCUGAGCAGGGCUGCCUGUCCUGGAAACCACUGCUGGCUCUGCCAGGGCUCAGGACUUAGGGAGCUUUAACCCUUGGCCUCCUGGCCAGAUGGCCCAGCGAGGGUGUCCCUGAGCAGGGGGCUGCAGGCAGGGCC
RNAcentral lists this long non-coding RNA (1241 nucleotides) under Taeniopygia guttata (zebra finch). Its description in RNAcentral is "lncRNA (ENSTGUG00000024184.1)". Lineage: Eukaryota; Metazoa; Chordata; Aves; Passeriformes; Estrildidae. The record is from RNAcentral.